CCGAGUUUACAACUCCCAAACCCCUGUGAACAUACCUAUUCGUUGCCUCGGCGGGAGGCCCCGGGGGGUAGUCGGCGUCCGCGCCGGCCGCCCUCCCGGACCCCAUGGCUGCCCGCCGGAGGACCAAUAAACUCUUGUUUUACCUGAAUCUUACUUCUGAGUAACUGGCGAAAGCCGAAAAUAAAUCA
Molecule: unclassified non-coding RNA, 188 nt
Filed under: uncultured fungus
Lineage: Eukaryota; Fungi
Description: sequence contains ITS1, 5.8S rRNA gene
Source: RNAcentral